GGAUGUGAGGACAAUCUGGCUGCAACAUCUGUCACCCCAUUGAUUGCCAAGGUUGAUACAGCUGAUCUGGCUGGCGAGGCAGGUGUCCCCUUCCUCGCUCACCACUCCAUGUGCGUCCCUCCCACAGCUGUAUGCUUCAUUAAAGAAGAUGACCAUCCUCGACAGAGGAGGACUGCUCUUCAGUCAAGGGUAUAUGAGUAGCUGGGCUCCCCUGCUACAAACCGCAGACAAGUUCUCAAGGAAAUCGAUCUGGAAGCUGGGAAUUUUCCCUACAUACCUAUGACUAGGAACAAUUUUUCUAGUAGCCUAG
Molecule: unclassified non-coding RNA, 310 nt
Organism: Piliocolobus tephrosceles (Ugandan red Colobus)
Lineage: Eukaryota; Metazoa; Chordata; Mammalia; Primates; Cercopithecidae
Gene: 7SK
Rfam family: 7SK RNA
About the family: 7SK was discovered as an abundant small nuclear RNA in the mid-70s but a possible function has only recently been suggested.
Source: Ensembl